GAGAACCCCUAAUGCAGCACGAGUGUCUUUCUCUCGGAAAUAUCCUCCCAUUAUGGCAUUGUACAUGUUUGUGGUAGGCAUCAAGUUAAACUUCUCCAAAUCCUUGAGCAUGUCAUAUGCACCUUCAAAAUCCUUUAUUCUCACAGUCAUGUUUAUCAUAAUCCUGAAGGUCUCACUAUUUGGCUUGAUAUCAUGACGAAGUAUCAUUGGAUACAUUCGAUGAACCAAAUUAUACUCACGGCUUUUAUCGCAGGCUUCAAGUAUGGAAUUAAAUGUCUCCAACGAUAAUGUCAAACCUGCUUCAAAC
Molecule: unclassified non-coding RNA, 307 nt
Filed under: Hevea brasiliensis (rubber tree)
Lineage: Eukaryota; Viridiplantae; Streptophyta; Magnoliopsida; Malpighiales; Euphorbiaceae
Source: RNAcentral